Molecule: ribosomal RNA, 303 nt
Filed under: uncultured bacterium
Lineage: Bacteria
Description: partial 16S ribosomal RNA
Rfam family: Bacterial small subunit ribosomal RNA
Source: RNAcentral
AGCAGUAGCCGCGGUAAUACGAAGGGGGCUAGCGUUGCUCGGAAUCACUGGGCGUAAAGCGCACGUAGGCGGCUUGGUAAGUUAGAGGUGAAAGCCCGGAGCUCAACUCCGGAAUUGCCUUUAAGACUGCCGAGCUAGUAGGUGAGAGAGGUAAGUGGAAUUCCGAGUGUAGAGGUGAAAUUCGUAGAUAUUCGGAAGAACACCAGUGGCGAAGGCGGCUUACUGGCUCAUUCUAGACGCUGAGGUGCGAAAGCGUGGGGAGCAAACAGGAUUAGAUCCCCAGUAGUCCCUGUCUCUUAUACA